Molecule: ribosomal RNA, 759 nt
Filed under: Luteimonas sp. TUT1017
Lineage: Bacteria; Pseudomonadati; Pseudomonadota; Gammaproteobacteria; Lysobacterales; Lysobacteraceae
Description: bacterial SSU rRNA
Rfam family: Bacterial small subunit ribosomal RNA
Source: RNAcentral
AGAGUUUGAUCCUGGCUCAGAGUGAACGCUGGCGGUAGGCCUAACACAUGCAAGUCGAACGGCAGCAGAAGAGAGCUUGCUCUCUUUGCGGCGAGUGGCGGACGGGUGAGGAAUACAUCGGAAUCUACCCUGCCGUGGGGGAUACCCUCGGGAAACCGGGACUAAUACCGCAUACGACCUUCGGGUGAAAGUAGGGGAUCGCAAGACCUUACGCGAUUGGAUGAGCCGAUGUCGGAUUAGCUUGUUGGCGGGGUAAAAGCCCACCAAGGCGACGAUCCGUAGCUGGUCUGAGAGGAUGAUCAGCCACACUGGGACUGAGACACGGCCCAGACUCCUACGGGAGGCAGCAGUGGGGAAUAUUGGACAAUGGGCGCAAGCCUGAUCCAGCCAUACCGCGUGAGUGAAGAAGGCCUUCGGGUUGUAAAGCUCUUUUGUUGGGAAAGAAAUCCUGCCGGUUAAUACCCGGUAGGGAUGACGGUACCCAAAGAAUAAGCACCGGCUAACUUCGUGCCAGCAGCCGCGGUAAUACGAAGGGUGCAAGCGUUACUCGGAAUUACUGGGCGUAAAGCGUGCGUAGGUGGUUUGUUAAGUCUGAUGUGAAAGCCCCGGGCUCAACCUGGGAAUUGCAUUGGAUACUGGCAGGCUGGAGUGCGGUAGAGGGUAGUGGAAUUCCCGGUGUAGCAGUGAAAUGCGUAGAGAUCGGGAGGAACAUCUGUGGCGAAGGCGACUGCCUGGACCAGCACUGACACUGAGGCACGA